CAACAACAGUGGGGUGGACAACAACAGUGAGGUGGACAACAACAGUGAGGUGGACAACAACAGUGAGGUGGACAACAACAGUGGGGUGGACAACAACAGUGGGGUGGACAUCAACAGUGGGGUGGACAACGACAGUGGGGUGGACAACGACAGUGGGGUGGACAACAGUGGGAUGGACAACAACAGUGGGGUGGACAAUGACAGUGGGGUGGACAACAACAAUGGGGUGGACAACAACAGUGGGGUGGACAACAACAGUGAGGUGGACAACAACAGUGAGGUGGACAACAACAGUGAGGUGGACAACAACAGUGGGGUGGACAACAACAGUGGGGUGGACAUCAACAGUGGGGUGGACAACAACAGUGGGGUGGACAACAACAGUGAGGUGGACAACAGUGGGGUGGACAACAACAGUGAGGUGGACAACAACAGUGAGGUGGACAACAACAGUGGGGUGGACAACAACAGUGGGGUGGACAACAACAGUGGGGUGGACAACAACAGUGAGGUGGACAACAACAGUGGGGUGGACAACAACAGUGGGGUGGACAACAACAGUGGGGUGGACAACAACAGUGAGGUGGACAACAGUGAGGUGGACAACAGUGGGGUGGACAACAGUGGGGUGGACAACAACAGUGGGGUGGACAACAACAGUGGGGUGGACAACAACAGUGGGGUGGACAAUAGUGGGGUGGACAACAACAGUGGGGUGGACAACAACAGUGGGGUGGACAUCAACAGUGGGGUGGACAACAACAGUGGGGUGGACAACAACAGUGGGGUGGACAUCAACAGUGGGGUGGACAACAACAGUGGGGUGGACAACAACAGUGAGGUGGACAACAGUGGGGUGGACAACAGUGGGGUGGACAACAACAGUGAGGUGGACAACAGUGAGGUGGACAACAGUGGUGUGGACAACAGUGGGGUGGACAACAACAGUGG
This is a long non-coding RNA of Oncorhynchus tshawytscha (Chinook salmon), 951 nucleotides long. NCBI's taxonomy places the organism in Eukaryota, Metazoa, Chordata, Actinopteri, Salmoniformes, Salmonidae. The record is from Ensembl.